AAGUCCCGCAACGAGCGCAACCCUCGCCUCUAGUUGCCAGCAUUCGGUUGGGCACUCUAGAGGGACUGCCGGCGACAAGUCGGAGGAAGGUGGGGAUGACGUCAAAUCAUCAUGCCCCUUAUGACCUGGGCUACACACGUGCUACAAUGGGCGGUACAAAGGGCUGCGAACCCGCGAGGGGGAGCGAAUCCCAAAAAGCCGCUCUCAGUUCGGAUUGCAGGCUGCAACUCGCCUGCAUGAAGCCGGAAUCGCUAGUAAUCGCGGAUCAGCAUGCCGCGGUGAAUACGUUCCCGGGCCUU
RNAcentral lists this ribosomal RNA (299 nucleotides) under uncultured Geobacillus sp. RNAcentral describes it as "partial 16S ribosomal RNA". It matches the Rfam family "Bacterial small subunit ribosomal RNA", at positions 1082 to 1382 of the family's 1533-position model. Lineage: Bacteria; Bacillati; Bacillota; Bacilli; Caryophanales; Anoxybacillaceae. The record is from RNAcentral.